AGGCCAAAUUUGGCUGAUGAAAAGGCAGCGAAACCCUUUCCGCCGCGCACACUCGCCGUUGCGCCGGUGAACAGAAUGGUGCCGCGGCCGCGCAGCAACAUGUAUUUGGCCGCCUCGCGGCCGACUAGAAAGCCGCCAUAGCAGGCGAGUUCCCAUGCCUUGAAGAACAGCUUUUCGGUGGUCUCCAGAAGCGGCUUGUUGACGUUGGAGCCGGCGUUAUAGAGG
RNAcentral lists this unclassified non-coding RNA (225 nucleotides) under Hevea brasiliensis (rubber tree). The record is from RNAcentral. Lineage: Eukaryota; Viridiplantae; Streptophyta; Magnoliopsida; Malpighiales; Euphorbiaceae.